CUACGGGAGGCUGCAGUGGGGAAUAUUGGACAAUGGGGGAAACCCUGAUCCAGCAAUGCCGCGUGUGUGAAGAAGGCCUGCGGGUUGUAAAGCACUUUCGGUUGGGAGGACUGCUUCUAGCACUAAUAUUGUUGGAAGUUGACGUUACCUUCAGAAGAAGUACCGGCUAACUCCGUGCCAGCAGCCGCGGUAAUACGGAGGGUGCAAGGGUUAAUCGGAAUUACGGGGCGUAAAGCGCGCGUAGGCGGCUAGAUCAGUCGGGUGUGAAAGCCCCGGGCUUAACCUGGGAACUGCAUCCGAUACUGUCUAGCUUGAGUACAGGAGAGGAGAGUGGAAUUCCACAUGUAGCGGUGAAAUGCGUAGAUAUGUGGAGGAACACCAAUGGCGAAGGCAGCUCUCUGGCCUGAUACUGACGCUGAGGUGCGAAAGCGUGGGGAGCAAACAGGAUUAGAUACCCUAGUAGUC
RNAcentral lists this ribosomal RNA (465 nucleotides) under uncultured bacterium. Its description in RNAcentral is "partial 16S ribosomal RNA". It matches the Rfam family "Bacterial small subunit ribosomal RNA", at positions 339 to 795 of the family's 1533-position model. The record is from RNAcentral.